UGAACGCUGGCGGCAGGCCUAACACAUGCAAGUCGAACGGCAGCGGGGGAGCUGCUCCCGCCGGCGAGUGGCGGACGGGUGAGUAAUGCCUGGGGAGCUGCCCAAUCGAGGGGGAUACCAGUUGGAAACGACUGCUAAUACCGCAUACGCCCUGAGGGGGAAAGGUGGGGAUCUUCGGACCUAUCGCGAUUGGAUGCACCCAGGUGGGAUUAGCUAGUUGGUGAGGUAACGGCUCACCAAGGCGACGAUCUCUAGCUGGUCUGAGAGGAUGACCAGCCACACUGGAACUGAGACACGGUCCAGACUCCUACGGGAGGCAGCAGUGGGGAAUAUUGCACAAUGGGGGAAACCCUGAUGCAGCCAUGCCGCGUGUGUGAAGAAGGCCCUUCGGGUUGUAAAGCACUUUCAGCGAGGAGGAAAGGGGUGAUGCUAAUACCAUCAUCCUGUGACGUUACUCGCAGAAGAAGCACCGGCUAACUCCGUGCCAGCCGCCGC
This 495-nucleotide ribosomal RNA is filed under the name uncultured bacterium. Its description in RNAcentral is "bacterial SSU rRNA". It matches the Rfam family "Bacterial small subunit ribosomal RNA", at positions 30 to 518 of the family's 1533-position model. The record is from RNAcentral.